UACGGGGGGAGCAAGCGUUGUUCGGAUUUACUGGGCGUAAAGGGCGCGUAGGCGGUCAGCACAAGUCAGUUGUGAAAUCUCCGGGCUUAACUCGGAAAGGUCAACUGAUACUGUGCGACUAGAGUGCGGAAGGGGCAACUGGAAUUCUCGGUGUAGCGGUGAAAUGCGUAGAUAUCGAGAGGAACACCUGCGGCGAAGGCGGGUUGCUGGGCCGACACUGACGCUGAUGCGCGACAGCAUGGGGAGCAAACAGG
Molecule: ribosomal RNA, 254 nt
Filed under: uncultured bacterium
Lineage: Bacteria
Description: partial 16S ribosomal RNA
Rfam family: Bacterial small subunit ribosomal RNA
Source: RNAcentral